CCUACGGGAGGCAGCAGUGAGGAAUAUUGGUCAAUGGACGAGAGUCUGAACCAGCCAAGUAGCGUGAAGGAUGACUGCCCUAUGGGUUGUAAACUUCUUUUAUAUGGGAGUAAAAUGUUCCACGUGUGGGAUUUUGUAUGUACCAUAUGAAUAAGGAUCGGCUAACUCCGUGCCAGCAGCCGCGGUAAGACGGAGGGUCCGAGCGUUAUCCGGAUUUAUUGGGUUUAAAGGGAGCGUAGGUGGGUUGUUAAGUCAGUUGUGAAAGUUUGCGGCUCAACCUUAAAAUUGCAGUUGAAACUGGCCGUCUUGAGUACAGUAGAGGUGGGCGGAAUUCGUGGUGUAGCGGUGAAAUGCUUAGAUAGCGCGAAGAACUCCGAUUGCGAAGGCAGUUCACUGGACUGCAACUGACACUGAGGCUCGAAAGUGUGGGUAUCAAACAGGAUUAGAUACCCUAGUAGUC
Molecule: ribosomal RNA, 460 nt
Filed under: uncultured bacterium
Lineage: Bacteria
Description: partial 16S ribosomal RNA
Rfam family: Bacterial small subunit ribosomal RNA
Source: RNAcentral